RNAcentral lists this ribosomal RNA (766 nucleotides) under Anoxybacillus kestanbolensis. RNAcentral describes it as "bacterial SSU rRNA". It matches the Rfam family "Bacterial small subunit ribosomal RNA", at positions 28 to 776 of the family's 1533-position model. The record is from RNAcentral. Lineage: Bacteria; Bacillati; Bacillota; Bacilli; Caryophanales; Anoxybacillaceae.
GACGAACGAGGCGGCGUGCCUGAUACAUGCAAGUCGAGCGGACGAAUCGAAAGCUUGCUUAUGAUUCGUUAGCGGCGGACGGGUGAGUAACACGUGGGCAACCUGCCCUGUAGACGGGGAUAACACCGAGAAAUCGGUGCUAAUACCGGAUAACACGAAAAGUCGCAUGACGUUUAGUUGAAAGACGGCGCAAGUUGUCGCUACAGGAUGGGCCCGCGGCGCAUUAGGUAGUUGGUGAGGUAACGGCUCACCAAGGCGAUGAUGUGUAGCCGACCUGAGAGGGUGAUCGGCCACACCGGGACUGAGACACGGCUCAGACUCCUACGGGAGGCAGCAGUAGGGAAUCUUCCGCAAUGGAGGAAAGUCUGACGGAGCCACGCCGCGUGAGCGAAGAAGGCCUUCGGGUCGUAAAGUUCUGUUGUUAGGGAAGAACAAGUAACGCUGUAACGCGCGUCACAGUGACGGUACAUACCGAGAAAGCCCCGGCUAACUACGUGCCAGCAGCCGCGGUAAUACGUAGGUGGCGAGCGUUGUCCGGAAUUAUUGGGCGUAAAGCGCGCGCAGGCGGUUCCUUAAGUCUGAUGUGAAAUCCCCCGGCUCAACCGUGGAGGGUCAUUGGAAACUGGGGGACUUGAGUGCAGAAGAGGAGAGCGGAAUUCCAGGUGUAGCGGUGAAAUGCGUAGAGAUGUGGAGGAACACCAGUGGCGAAGGCGGCUCUCUGGUCAAAAACUGACGCUCAGGUGCGAAAGCGUGGGGAGCAAACAGG